This 534-nucleotide ribosomal RNA is filed under the name Anophryoides haemophila. Its description in RNAcentral is "partial Bacterial small subunit ribosomal RNA". The record is from RNAcentral. Lineage: Eukaryota; Ciliophora; Oligohymenophorea; Philasterida; Glauconematidae.
AACGCUCGCACCCUCUGUAUUACCGCGGCUGCUGGCACAGAGUUAGCCGGUGCUUAUUCUGCGAGUAACGUCCACUAUCCUAGAGUAUUAAUCCAAGUAGCCUCCUCCUCGCUUAAAGUGCUUUACAACCAAAAGGCCUUCUUCACACACGCGGCAUGGCUGGAUCAGGGUUCCCCCCAUUGUCCAAUAUUCCCCACUGCUGCCUCCCGUAGGAGUCUGGGCCGUGUCUCAGUCCCAGUGUGGCUGGUCGUCCUCUCAGACCAGCUACAGAUCGAAGGCUUGGUGAGCCUUUACCUCACCAACUACCUAAUCCCACUUGGGCUCAUCCUAUGGCAUGUGGCCCGAAGGUCCCACACUUUCAUCUCUCGAUACUACGCGGUAUUAGCUACAGUUUCCCGUAGUUAUCCCCCUCCAUAAGCUAGAUUCCCAAGCAUUACUCACCCGUCCGCCACUCGUCAUCAAAGAAGCAAGCUUCUUUAUGUUACCGUUCGACUUGCAUGUGUUAAGCCUGCCGCCAGCGUUCAAUCUGAGCCA